UUUGCACAAUGGNCGAAAGCCUGNUGCAGCAACGCCGCGUGCGCGAAGAAGGUCUUCGGAUCGUAAAGCGCUUUUCGGGGAGAUGAGGAAGGACAGUAUCCCCGGAAUAAGGCUCGGCUAACUACGUGCCAGCAGCCGCGGUAAAACGUAGGAGCCAAGCGUUAUCCGAAUUCACNUGGGCGUAAAGCGCGUGCAGGUGGUCUGGUAAGUUGGAUGUGAAAUCUCCUGGCUCAACUGGGAGAGGCCGUUCAAUACUGUCAGACUAGAGGGCGACAGAGGGAGGUAGAAUUCCGGGUGUAGUGGUGAAAUGCGUAGAUAUCCGGAGGAAUACCAGAGGCGAAGGCGACCUCCUGGGUCGCACCUGACGCUCAGACGCGAAAGCUAGGGGAGCGAACGGGAUUAGAAACCCCGGUAGUCCUAGCCGUAAACGAUGUAGACUGGGUGUUGGCGGGGUAAAAGCCGUCAGUGCCGAAGCAAACGCGAUAAGUCUACCGCCUGGGGACUACGGCCGCAAGGUUAAAACUCAAAGAAAUUGACGGA
RNAcentral lists this ribosomal RNA (540 nucleotides) under uncultured bacterium. RNAcentral describes it as "bacterial SSU rRNA". It matches the Rfam family "Bacterial small subunit ribosomal RNA", at positions 363 to 917 of the family's 1533-position model. The record is from RNAcentral.